This is a long non-coding RNA of Mastomys coucha (southern multimammate mouse), 1314 nucleotides long. RefSeq lists it as uncharacterized. The record is from RefSeq and is a predicted model, not a curated record. NCBI's taxonomy places the organism in Eukaryota, Metazoa, Chordata, Mammalia, Rodentia, Muridae. The transcript has 2 exons.
UCAGAAAUGUUUUCGGGGCAGUGCUCAGGAUGGGGCAGCCCUGGUCCAGAUCCUAGCCCCAGAAGCCAGCCCCGGGGGAGUUGGGGUGGGUUACAGCCAGGUCGGCUAGGCGCAAGCUCUCUGAGGUCAUGGCAGACUUACCUCAUCCCACUCUGAGGCAAAGGAAGGCGACUUCUCCAGCCUCUUCUUCCCCAUGCUGCAGUUGGACAAGGACUCGCUGCGACUCCCCAUUGUGGCGUCCUCCGUGGGGGAGCAGGUCAGGAGCUGCUGGGGUGUGGAGCCUGUAAGAGUCUCAAGAAACAGCUAAGACGGAAUACAUCCUUCCAGAUUCAUCUCACCCUUCAAGCUCGCCCAGGUUCCUUGCUAAGCUCUGGACCCAGCUGGUUCCUAUGGCUUCCCUUCAGGAAGCUCUGCUCUGCGCCCAUGGCCCCUUAGGAUUCCCAACAGCCAUAAAGAACUUUCCUAGCCUUCGUCCGCUAGCUCAGUGUCACUGGACACAGUGUUAACUGGGCUGGCUCGCUCACUUCCCUGUGCUCCCCUGACCUGGAAUUACUAGCCACCAGGGAUGAGGUGUGGUUGUUGCUUAGGGCAGUUCACUCUGCGCUGUCCAGUCCUGGCUCCCCACGCCUGGCCUUUAGGGCUGAUCUUUUUCAAAUUUGCCACCUCUUCAGCAUAACUGCACCACUGAAAAGACACACUCGGCUUUGGGGGACUGACUACCUUCCUAGUGUUUUCUCCUUCCGGUGCCAAUGGCUGGAAAGUGAACGACCACCUGGGCUGUGACUAACAGGAAGCAACAGGUCCUGAAAACAGCACCCUGCCCUGUGCUCAUUUCUGCAGAGGUCAUUCAGCCCCCUGCAUCGUCAGCGUCUCUCUUAAUCAUCAGAACCACGUUUCUGGGCAUUGUGGGCAUAUUUACACAGAUGUUCUCCUAGAACGCACAACAUUCAACCUAGAUUUAGCAUCGUCCCCCAGUCCUUGCCUUCCCAAGUGCCCAUUUGUACUGGUUAUGUAAUACUCUCUCAGCCAGGCUGGAAAGCCAGCCCUGCUCACCCACAUGUGGCUGCACCCCUGCCAUCUUACUCCUCAGGCUCCUUCCUCCUCCCCAAACUUCCUCCUGCCCCUCUGGGAUAGGCUCUAGUUACCAUCAGAGAUGAAGGUUCCUGGCUGCAGCUAUUCCUGCCUCCUGCCUGUCCCAAGCUAAGACUCCCAGAGUCUACCCUUUGGAGCGUGGCCCCUAGGCUGUCACCCCACUCCUAAAGUUUCAACAAUACCACUCUGUCUCUGAAAUAAAGACUGACAUUUGAGACCCAA